AAGACGAGGAGUGGUUUAUUUUCCUAUGGUUGUUAUAUCAUCUCGUCUUAGACAUGUUAGAAUAUGCUUGAAGUACAGGGACUUUUAUGGAAUUCAUUGACAUCAUAGUCAAGCAAGAUGUCAACAUCCCGUCCAACCGUCUUCCAGCAAAGCCAAUUUGAAAGCUGACCAAGGAUCUUCAUCAUUUCGUGACAGGGUGUAUACAGGACGAGUCAUUCCACUAGGAUCAGGUACAUUUUACAACUCUUAACAAUCAAUUUUCAUUAGUUCCUUAUACAUGUAUAAAGGCCGUUUAAGGGGGUUUCAUUGGGGGGGGGGGGGUUCUGAUCCCGGAACACCGCUUAUUGUUUUGUUAGAUUCCAGUAUCCCAGCUAUACUAUGCACCUAAGCAAUUCUCAUUUUUUAUAAUUUCCCUUGUCCCGCUAGACCUUAAUUCCUGUUUUCACGACACAAUAAUUUGACUUUCCCCUGUCACGCUUACGAAAAAUUGGCAAUCCCGCAUCACGCUUAGACCCUAAUGAGACCCACUAUAUAGUCAAUCUGAAAUUAGGGGACCAACAUUUGAUACAAUAGCCAGAUGAAAAAAAGAACGGAGGGAGUUGAAGUUAAAAGGGCAUGUGAAUAUUCUUUUACACCUGACCUGUUUCUAGGACAUCUUAUCUAUUUCCUAUAGCCAAGUGCAAACAAAUAAUAUACUGUAAAUUGAGAAAUUAUUGUAAUGUUUUUAUUAUUGCUAGAAUGUGAAAGGGUAAUCAUGUAAAACAUUUUUUUUUUUUGUAAUUGCAAUUUAAUUAAAACUCACAUUUUGAGUAUUUUUUAUAUGAAUCAAACAGGAUAUUUCUGAACAUCGCAAAAUUUAAAUCACAUUUCAGUCUUGAAUUAUAAAACCGCAUUAAUAAACCUAUGCAACAGUUAUAUAUUAAAUGUAUAUGGCAUGAGUCUUGGGACCAUUUAAUUACCAAAAAGAAAGGGGGAGGAUUAGAAUGGUCAAAAUAUCCUUGUCAGCUAAGGACAGAAUUUAAAUUGUUAAGCUAUUAACCAGGGUACAAUAUACAUCAUGUACAUGUAUAUUAAUUUUUUGCUUAAAAAACAAUUUAUAGACCAUAAGCAUGAUAAGCAUGAUAGUAAUCAAAAUUUAUUUCAACAUGUUCAACAUUAAGCAGGACAAUAUGUUUUUAUUCUCUUACCCUUAGUUUAAUUUUAAGUUUUUAAUAGAAGUUGUACAUGUUCAGGUCUUUGUUUAUUAAAAAAGCUUAUACCUGGUUGUAAAGCCUCAUUCCAAAACAUGUUUUACAUACAACAUACUGUACAUGAAACACUAGGUAACUUUAUCUAAAGAAUAAUCUUGUUUAAUGAUCUAUUAUACAAUGUCAAUGAAUGUAGGCCAUGGCGACUAAAAAAUCAAAAGGCAUUGCAAACUUUUAUAAAGUUCAAUUUUGGGACCUUACAUGUACAUUGAUGUACAUGUAUGUAUAAAUGUAUGAAUUAUAAUUAUAGAGCCCUUUUUAAAAGAAACAAAAAAAAACAUGCACAGUGCUGCUACACUACCCUACAAUUCCUGUGAUACAAAAUUGAAGAAUUAUUUUAUAGUUUAACACUUUUCAUUUGUAGGACUAUUGUCAUGAUAAUAGAUGCAGGCAAUGCUGAUGGGUUUUGUGAAUGUGACAAUAAAUAGCC
This 1677-nucleotide long non-coding RNA is filed under the name Mytilus galloprovincialis (Mediterranean mussel). Lineage: Eukaryota; Metazoa; Mollusca; Bivalvia; Mytilida; Mytilidae. The record is from RNAcentral.